This 497-nucleotide ribosomal RNA is filed under the name uncultured bacterium. RNAcentral's name for it is "partial 16S ribosomal RNA". It matches the Rfam family "Bacterial small subunit ribosomal RNA", at positions 28 to 507 of the family's 1533-position model. The record is from RNAcentral.
GAUGAACGCUGGCGGCGUGCCUAAUACAUGCAAGUCGAGCGAACGGACGAGAAGCUUGCUUCUCUGAUGUUAGCGGCGGACGGGUGAGUAACACGUGGAUAACCUACCUAUAAGACUGGGAUAACUUCGGGAAACCGGAGCUAAUACCGGAUAAUAUUUUGAACCGCAUGGUUCAAAAGUGAAAGACGGUCUUGCUGUCACUUAUAGAUGGAUCCGCGCUGCAUUAGCUAGUUGGUAAGGUAACGGCUUACCAAGGCAACGAUGCAUAGCCGACCUGAGAGGGUGAUCGGCCACACGGGAACUGAGACACGGUCCAGACUCCUACGGGAGGCAGCAGUAGGGAAUCUUCCGCAAUGGGCGAGAGCCUGACGGAGCAACGCCGCGUGAGUGAUGAAGGUCUUCGGAUCGUAAAACUCUGUUAUUAGGGAAGAACAUAUGUGUAAGUAACUGUGCACAUCUUGACGGUACCUAAUCAGAAAGCCACGGCUAACUACGUG